AGUGAACGCUGGCGGUAGGCCUAACACAUGCAAGUCGAACGGCAGCACAGUAAGAGCUUGCUCUUACGGGUGGCGAGUGGCGGACGGGUGAGGAAUACAUCGGAAUCUACUUUUUCGUGGGGGAUAACGUAGGGAAACUUACGCUAAUACCGCAUACGACCUACGGGUGAAAGCAGGGGAUCUUCGGACCUUGCGCGAUUGAAUGAGCCGAUGUCGGAUUAGCUAGUUGGCGGGGUAAAGGCCCACCAAGGCGACGAUCCGUAGCUGGUCUGGGAGGAUGAUCAGCCACACUGGAACUGAGACACGGUCCAGACUCCUACGGGAGGCAGCAGUGGGGAAUAUUGGACAAUGGGCGCAAGCCUGAUCCAGCCAUACCGCGUGGGUGAAGAAGGCCUUCGGGUUGUAAAGCCCUUUUGUUGGGAAAGAAAAGCAGCAGGUUAAUACCCCGCUGUUCUGACGGUACCCAAAGAAUAAACACCGGCUAACUUCGU
This 491-nucleotide ribosomal RNA is filed under the name uncultured bacterium. RNAcentral describes it as "partial 16S ribosomal RNA". It matches the Rfam family "Bacterial small subunit ribosomal RNA", at positions 29 to 506 of the family's 1533-position model. The record is from RNAcentral.